GAUGAACGCUGGCGGCGUGCUUAACACAUGCAAGUCGAACGAAGCACUUUAUUUGAUUUCCUUCGGGACUGAUUAUUUUGUGACUGAGUGGCGGACGGGUGAGUAACGCGUGGGUAACCUGCCUUGUACAGGGGGAUAACAGUUGGAAACGGCUGCUAAUACCGCAUAAGCGCACGGCAUCGCAUGAUGCAGUGUGAAAAACUCCGGUGGUAUAAGAUGGACCCGCGUUGGAUUAGCUAGUUGGUGAGGUAACGGCCCACCAAGGCGACGAUCCAUACCCGACCUGAGAGGGUGACCGGCCACAUUGGGACUGAGACACGGCCCAAACUCCUACGGGAGGCAGCAGUGGGGAAUAUUGCACAAUGGGCGAAAGCCUGAUGCAGCGACGCCGCGUGAGCGAAGAAGUAUUUCGGUAUGUAAAGCUCUAUCAGCAGGGAAGAUAAUGACGGUACCUGACUAAGAAGCACCGGCUAAAUACGUG
Molecule: ribosomal RNA, 481 nt
Filed under: uncultured bacterium
Lineage: Bacteria
Description: partial 16S ribosomal RNA
Rfam family: Bacterial small subunit ribosomal RNA
Source: RNAcentral